This 273-nucleotide ribosomal RNA is filed under the name uncultured bacterium. Its description in RNAcentral is "partial 16S ribosomal RNA". It matches the Rfam family "Bacterial small subunit ribosomal RNA", at positions 524 to 796 of the family's 1533-position model. The record is from RNAcentral.
UACGGAGGGAGCUAGCGUUGUUCGGAUAUACUGGGCGUAAAGCGCACGUAGGCGGCGCAGCAAGUCAGGGGUGAAAUCCCGGGGCUCAACCCCGGAACUGCCUUUGAAACUGCAGUGCUAGAAUCUUGGAGAGGUCAGUGGAAUUCCGAGUGUAGAGGUGAAAUUCGUAGAUAUUCGGAAGAACACCAGUGGCGAAGGCGACUGACUGGACAAGUAUUGACGCUGAGGUGCGAAAGCGUGGGGAGCAAACAGGAUUAGAAACCCCAGUAGUCC